Non-coding RNA from Acanthosepion pharaonis, 114 nucleotides. NCBI's taxonomy places the organism in Eukaryota, Metazoa, Mollusca, Cephalopoda, Sepiida, Sepiidae. The record is from the annotation of a GenBank genome assembly.
UUACGGCUACACCACGUUCAAACAAUGGUUCCCAUACGAUCACCGAAGUUAAGCAACGUCGAGCUUGGACAGUAUUCAGAUGGGUGACCGCUUUGAAAUACUUGUUGCUGUAAG